RNAcentral lists this ribosomal RNA (253 nucleotides) under uncultured bacterium. RNAcentral's name for it is "partial 16S ribosomal RNA". It matches the Rfam family "Bacterial small subunit ribosomal RNA", at positions 524 to 776 of the family's 1533-position model. The record is from RNAcentral.
UACGUAGGGUGCGAGCGUUGUCCGGAAUUAUUGGGCGUAAAGGGCUCGUAGGCGGUUUGUCACGUCAGGAGUGAAAACUCGGGGCUUAACCCCGAGCCUGCUUCUGAUACGGGCAGACUAGAGGUAUGCAGGGGAGAACGGAAUUCCUGGUGUAGCGGUGAAAUGCGCAGAUAUCAGGAGGAACACCGGUGGCGAAGGCGGUUCUCUGGGCAUUACCUGACGCUGAGGAGCGAAAGUGUGGGGAGCGAACAGG